This 480-nucleotide ribosomal RNA is filed under the name uncultured bacterium. Its description in RNAcentral is "bacterial SSU rRNA". It matches the Rfam family "Bacterial small subunit ribosomal RNA", at positions 30 to 507 of the family's 1533-position model. The record is from RNAcentral.
UGAACGCUGGCGGCGUGCUUAACACAUGCAAGUCGAACGAAGCACUUUAUUUGAUUUCCUUCGGGACUGAUUAUUUUGUGACUGAGUGGCGACGGGUGAGUAACGCGUGGGUAACCUGCCUUGUACAGGGGGAUAACAGUUGGAAACGGCUGCUAAUACCGCAUAAGCGCACGGCAUCGCAUGAUGCAGUGUGAAAAACUCCGGUGGUAUAAGAUGGACCCGCGUUGGAUUAGCUAGUUGGUGAGGUAACGGCCCACCAAGGCGACGAUCCAUAGCCGACCUGAGAGGGUGACCGGCCACAUUGGGACUGAGACACGGCCCAAACUCCUACGGGAGGCAGCAGUGGGGAAUAUUGCACAAUGGGCGAAAGCCUGAUGCAGCGACGCCGCGUGAGCGAAGAAGUAUUUCGGUAUGUAAAGCUCUAUCAGCAGGGAAGAAGAAAUGACGGUACCUGACUAAGAAGCACCGGCUAAAUACGUG